UAAGGAAAAAAUGAAGUAUUGAGGUACUUCAUUCAAUAGACGAGCGUUUCUGACUUUGUUUAGUUUUGAGAGAACUAUCUCUCAAUAAUUGUUCCUUGAAAACUAGAUAACAAAUGACAAGACAUCAUUGAAAGUAGUAAGUUCUUUUAAAUUAACUUA
Molecule: unclassified non-coding RNA, 159 nt
Filed under: uncultured bacterium
Lineage: Bacteria
Description: 16S-23S ribosomal RNA intergenic spacer
Source: RNAcentral